Molecule: unclassified non-coding RNA, 315 nt
Filed under: Athalia rosae (coleseed sawfly)
Lineage: Eukaryota; Metazoa; Arthropoda; Insecta; Hymenoptera; Athaliidae
Description: misc RNA ENSAEAG00005009377.1
Source: RNAcentral
CUGAAAAUAUUUCACGCACACCCAUACGUAGGUACGUCACGAGUUGAGACGUAUAUACGCCAAAGGGUUUUCUUUGUUCGAAAAGAAGGAUGAGGAAGAAUUAGGAGCGGAUCGUUGGGACAGAAUUCUUACUUCUGUCCAAACGAACCACCUGAAGAUGGUUUGGACAGGAUUCAUACUUCUGUCCACCCUCAGGUGGAUCGUUGGGACAGAAUUCAGACAUCUGUCCACCCUCAGGUGGAUCUUUAGGACAGGAUUCAUACUUCUGUCCAAAUUAACCGCCUGAGGAUCGUUUGGAUAGAGUCCGUUUUCGCU